CGCAAGCCUGACGGAGCAAGACCGCGUGGGGGAGGAAGGCCUUUGGGUUGUAAACCCCUUUUCUUUGGGAAGAACAAAAUGACGGUACCAAAGGAAUCAGCCUCGGCUAACUCCGUGCCAGCAGCCGCGGUAAUACGGAGGAGGCAAGCGUUAUCCGGAAUUAUUGGGCGUAAAGCGUCCGCAGGUGGCUUGUCAAGUCUGCUGUCAAAGACUGGGGCUUAACUCCGGGCAGGCAGUGGAAACUGACAGGCUAGAGUGCAGGAGGGGUAGAGGGAAUUCCCGGUGUAGCGGGGAAAUGCGUAGAGAUCGGGAAGAACAUCGGUGGCGAAAGCGCUUUGCUAGACCGAAACUGACACUCAGGGACGAAAGCUAGGGGAGCG
RNAcentral lists this ribosomal RNA (380 nucleotides) under uncultured cyanobacterium. RNAcentral's name for it is "bacterial SSU rRNA". It matches the Rfam family "Bacterial small subunit ribosomal RNA", at positions 376 to 770 of the family's 1533-position model. The record is from RNAcentral. Lineage: Bacteria; Bacillati; Cyanobacteriota.